UCUGUAAGCCGUUGAAGGUGCAUUGUAAAGUGUGCUGGAGGUAUCAGAAGUGCGAAUGCUGACAUGAGUAACGAUAAAGGGAGUGAAAAACUCCCUCGCCGGAAGAUCAAGGGUUCCUGUCCAACGUUAAUCGGGGCAGGGUAAGUCGACCCCUAAGGCGAGGCCGAAAGGCGUAGUCGAUGGGAAACGGGUUAAUAUUCCCGUACUUCUUAUAAUUGCGAUGGAGGGACGGAGAAGGCUAGGUGAGCCUGGCGACGGUUGUCCAGGUCCAAGUAUGUAGGCUGAUGAAUUAGGCAAAUCCGGUUCAUCUUAAGGCUGAGAUACGAUGUCGAGCUACUACGGUAGUGAAGUCAUUGAUGCCAUGCUUCCGGGAAAAGCUUCUAAGCUUCAGAUUAUAAGAAAUCGUACCCCAAACCGACACAGGUGAUCAGGUAGAGAAUACCAAGGCGCUUGAGAGAACUCGGGUGAAGGAACUAGGCAAAAUGGUACCGUAACUUCGGGAGAAGGUACGCUCCUAGCGGUGAUGAGACUUGCU
Molecule: ribosomal RNA, 535 nt
Filed under: Photobacterium aquimaris
Lineage: Bacteria; Pseudomonadati; Pseudomonadota; Gammaproteobacteria; Vibrionales; Vibrionaceae
Description: bacterial LSU rRNA
Rfam family: Bacterial large subunit ribosomal RNA
Source: RNAcentral